This 1148-nucleotide long non-coding RNA is filed under the name Nicotiana benthamiana. RNAcentral describes it as "long non-coding RNA (NBEN_LNC034767)". Lineage: Eukaryota; Viridiplantae; Streptophyta; Magnoliopsida; Solanales; Solanaceae. The record is from RNAcentral.
CAAAGAGAUAAUUUCAAAGUUUUGGCUCAAAUAAAGCCCGGAUCUAACAAGGGAGGGGAAGUGUUAGCAUGCUGACCCUAAUUGACCCUAUGCUAACUUAGCUUAAUGCGACUAUAGCAAUUGAAAGCCAAACAUUGUUAUGCUAAUAUGAGAUUCUUAAUUAAUACCAACAAAUUUUAUCCCUGAAUUUGAUUACUUAAACAAAGAACAAACCAAAGAAACUAAUCUGUAUAGAAGCUAAACAACUGACAAACAAUUUAACUUGUGGCUACCAUGAAUACAUGAAUGAACCAUUCCUAAUGACCAACUUGCAUUUAACAAUAUAGCAUAACACUUUUAAAACAUGAUAGGCCAUCAUUAUCGACAAUUGUUCUAAUACAGAAUACCACACAAACAAAGUACAUAUUUUAACCAAUCUUAAAGCUAAAGUCACAUAUUGAAGAAAUAACUGCUAAGGUUCCUGAAAGUCCCAAAUUAUCAUAUGUUUAGCCGCAUACCCUAAACACAAACUUAGCUAAUAAUCCAUGCUUGGUCAAUUCUUCGCCUCAGCAGUCCAUAAUUCAAUUAUAAUAUAGUAAUCUAGCAAAUCCAACUGAAGACAACCACACCACAUUGAAUCAGAUGAUCAAACAUACAGACAUCAUGAGGAGAAACUGUAAAUAAGCAACAUAAUCUGACACAAUGCUUCAAACUCUCAUUUUCAUUUUGUUUCUUCACUUCACAACCAAAGAGUUAUAGAGUUGUGUACCUGAAAAUGAGAGUAAAGAGGUAAGGUUCAGCAGUAGCAACAGGAUCCCAACAGCAAAAUAAACCAUGAAACAACUUUGAACAAAAAAACGGAUGCCCAGCAGUCACAAAUCCAUAACCAGAAUUUCAAACCAACUUUUAAAAAUACCAAACUUAAAUCAUCUCAACCCAAGUAGCUCAGAAACCAGUUCAGGAAUCAGAAAUUUGAGACAUCACAAAAGGAUUAGAUGGAACAGUAAUUUCAACAAAAUUCCAAACUAAAACACCUUCGAAAACCCACAAUGAGGAUCUAUUUUCGGGUGUUUGAAAAGAAACAGAAAAUCUCUACAAUUUCAAUGAAAUAGUAGCUUUUAUCACCUCUAGUCAUUAAUGAGUUUUUUCUGGAUUUUUAUCACUCUUUU